Humulus lupulus (European hop) is the source of this 227-nucleotide long non-coding RNA. RefSeq lists it as uncharacterized. The transcript is spliced from 3 exons. Lineage: Eukaryota; Viridiplantae; Streptophyta; Magnoliopsida; Rosales; Cannabaceae. The record is from RefSeq and is a predicted model, not a curated record.
AGGGCAUCAUUGAUGUUGCAAUCCGCUACUAUUUAAUUGCUAUCGAGCUCCGACCAAAUUUUGUUGAUGCAUGGUCAAAUUUAGCAAGUGCAUAUAUGCGUAAAGGGCAGUUUAACGAGGCAGCUCAAUGUUGUCGCCAGGCUCUUGCACUGAAUCCACGUUUGGUUGAUGCACACAUUAAUCUUGGGAAUUUGAUGAAAGCUCAAGGAUUAGUUCAAGAGGUGAGG